RNAcentral lists this ribosomal RNA (530 nucleotides) under uncultured bacterium. RNAcentral's name for it is "bacterial SSU rRNA". It matches the Rfam family "Bacterial small subunit ribosomal RNA", at positions 336 to 866 of the family's 1533-position model. The record is from RNAcentral.
CUCCUACGGGAGGCAGCAGUGAGGAAUAUUGGUCAAUGGACGCAAGUCUGAACCAGCCAUGCCGCGUGAAGGAUGAAGGCCUUCUGGGUUGUAAACUUCUUUUAUUGGGGAAGAAAAUUACGGUUUCUACUGUAACCGACGGUACCCAAGGAAUAAGCACCGGCUAACUCCGUGCCAGCAGCCGCGGUAAUACGGAGGGUGCAAGCGUUAUCCGGAUUCACUGGGUUUAAAGGGUGUGUAGGCGGGCAUUUAAGUCAGUGGUGAAAUCUCCAGGCUCAACCUGGAAACUGCCAUUGAUACUAUUUGUCUUGAAUAUCGUUGAGGUUGGCGGAAUAUAUCAUGUAGCGGUGAAAUGCUUAGAUAUGAUAUAGAACACCGAUUGCGAAGGCAGCUAACUAAGCGAUGAUUGACGCUGAGGCACGAAAGCGUGGGGAUCAAACGGGAUUAGAUACCCUGGUAGUCCACGCCCUAAACGAUGAUUACUCGACAUACGCGAUACACAGUGUGUGUCUGAGCGAAAGCAUUAAGUA